RNAcentral lists this ribosomal RNA (466 nucleotides) under uncultured bacterium. RNAcentral describes it as "partial 16S ribosomal RNA". It matches the Rfam family "Bacterial small subunit ribosomal RNA", at positions 330 to 792 of the family's 1533-position model. The record is from RNAcentral.
CCCAGACUCCUACGGGAGGCAGCAGUGAGGAAUAUUGGUCAAUGGGCGGAAGCCUGAACCAGCCAAGUCGCGUGAGGGAAGAAGGCCCUGCGGGUCGCAGACCUCUUUGGACGGGGAGCAAGGCCGCCGACGUGUCGGCGGAAGGAGAGUACCCGUAGAACAAGCAUCGGCUAACUCCGUGCCAGCAGCCGCGGUAAUACGUAGGGGGCAAGCGUUAUCCGGAUUUACUGGGUGUAAAGGGAGCGUAGACGGAAAGGCAAGUCAGAAGUGAAAGCCCAAGGCUCAACCAUGGGACUGCUUUUGAAACUGUCAAACUAGAGUACGGGAGAGGUAAGAGGAAUUCCUAGUGUAGCGGUGAAAUGCGUAGAUAUUAGGAGGAACACCAGUGGCGAAGGCGGCCUGCUGGGCUUUAACUGACGCUGAGGCUCGAAAGCGUGGGGAGCAAACAGGAUUAGAUACCCGAGUA